ACCAUCAAUAUCUACUG
RNAcentral lists this small RNA (17 nucleotides) under Arabidopsis thaliana (thale cress). RNAcentral's name for it is "ATSL224630". The record is from RNAcentral. Lineage: Eukaryota; Viridiplantae; Streptophyta; Magnoliopsida; Brassicales; Brassicaceae.